CGGCCGCCAUCUUGGCCCAACUGCUCCCCUCACUCCAGUUGCUCAGCCCGCCGCUGAGCACAGCCAAUCCGCGGCCGUCCACUCACUGUUUCGGCCAAUCACCGAGCAGACGGCCCGGAAGCUCGAGAGGCUCGUGCCAGGUCGGGGGGCGAAGGCGAGGCCAGCCCACCAAGCAGGGGCGUCACCAAGGGAAAGCCAAUCACCAUUAUUUCUGAAGCCCAAGGGGGCGGGACGAGAAGUCAACGGAAUGGUGGUGCUGCUGGAAAUCUAGCACCUGGGGAGAGCCUGAGACUUUUUUAUCUAAUUGCCUAUUGGACACCUCCAUCUGGGUAAACCCAGGCAUCCAGAACUUUCCCUCAAGACUUACCUCCCUCAGUGCAGGUCGGGCUGGCCUCACGCAUUUCGCUUGGAUGCCUAAAUCUGUCUCCACGUGGGGCCGGUCGAUAAAACAACACUUCCCAGAAUACGCUGCGAUCCAUUCGCGGUCUGCACCCGGAAAGUACACCUCCCAGGGGUCUGUGCGCGCCGCCAGGGAACGGGUCUUGUGGCUUUGUCUCCCGCGAAGAGAUGGCGGAGUCGUUGAGGUCUCCGCGCCGCUCCCUGUACAAACUGGUGGGCUCGCCGCCUUGGAAAGAGGCUUUCCGGCAGAGAUGCCUGGAGAGAAUGAGAAACAGCCGGGACAGGCUCCUAAACAGGUACCGCCAGGCUGGAAGCAGUGGGCCAGGGAAUUCUCAGAACAGCUUUCUAGUUCAAGAGGUGAUGGAAGAAGAGUGGAAUGCUUUGCAGUCAGUGGAGAAUUGUCCAGAAGACUUGGCUCAGUUGGAGGAGCUGAUAGACAUGGCUGUGCUGGAGGAAAUUCAACAGGAGCUGAUCAACCAAGAGCAGUCCAUCAUCAGCGAGUAUGAGAAGAGCUUGCAGUUUGAUGAAAAGUGUCUCAGCAUCAUGCUGGCUGAGUGGGAGGCAAACCCACUCAUCUGUCCUGUAUGUACAAAGUAAGAGUUUUUAAAACCUUUUCAGCAUUAUUCGUUCCCAUUCCCCACUCCAAGGUGAGUGGAAUCUCCCCCAAGAUUUGUUACCUGAAAAGGUUUGGAGAUCCAGGUCUGGUGGCCAUGAUGCUCUGGGAUCCUAAUUCUGCUUCUAGGUACAACCUGAGAAUCACAAGCGGUGUGGUGGUGUGUCAGUGUGGCCUGUCCAUCCCAUCUCAUGCCUGUGAUACUUGGGCUGUGAUCCUCUAGAGGCAGCUUGGACUCACAUCAUUCUAUGGGGUUGAAGACAACUCAUUCCCUCUGAGGAGCCUUGUACAUACAAGCCUUUUAUUUAUAACUUAUUUUGUAUUGAAACUUUUAAACAAUACUGAAGAAAAAAAAACUUUUCCGACAUCUGUUCUUGGUUUUUGUGACGCAGGUUGAAGGGGGAGGAAUAGAAAAAGACAAACUGCCUUGGAGGAGAUAAACCAAUUUUAUGUCUAUCAUGUUAUACAAAAAUCUAGAAAUAAUAGAUUUGUACAGAAAAAAAUGAUAAUAAAUGAGAGCACAAAAC
RNAcentral lists this small RNA (1539 nucleotides) under Pan troglodytes (chimpanzee). Its description in RNAcentral is "retained intron". The record is from RNAcentral. Lineage: Eukaryota; Metazoa; Chordata; Mammalia; Primates; Hominidae.